This 208-nucleotide unclassified non-coding RNA is filed under the name uncultured Entoloma. RNAcentral describes it as "sequence contains ITS2". Lineage: Eukaryota; Fungi; Basidiomycota; Agaricomycetes; Agaricales; Entolomataceae. The record is from RNAcentral.
AAUUAUCAAAUUCUUACCAGCUUGCUGGUGUGAAUUUGGAUGUAUGGGGGGAUUUGCUGAGUCAUUUCAUUGUUCAGCUCCUCUGAAAUGUAUAUUAGCAAAAGAAAGAGAACUUCAUGCUGAUUUUGUUGGUGUUAUAAUAACUGUUUCAACAACUAAUGUCAGAAGAGGUGAUCUUGAGUCCUUAGGGACCAAUUAUAAUUCUUUU